RNAcentral lists this ribosomal RNA (250 nucleotides) under uncultured bacterium. Its description in RNAcentral is "partial 16S ribosomal RNA". It matches the Rfam family "Bacterial small subunit ribosomal RNA", at positions 525 to 775 of the family's 1533-position model. The record is from RNAcentral.
ACGUAGGUGGCGAGCGUUGUCCGGAAUUAUUGGGCGUAAAGGGAGCGCAGGUGGGAAAGUAAGUCAGUCUUAAAAGUGCGGGGCUCAACCCCGUGAGGGGAUUGAAACUACUUUUCUUGAGUGCAGGAGAGGAAAGCGGAAUUCCUAGUGUAGCGGUGAAAUGCGUAGAUAUUAGGAGGAACACCAGUGGCGAAGGCGGCUUUCUGGACUGUAACUGACACUGAGGCUCGAAAGCCAGGGGAGCGAACGG